RNAcentral lists this transfer RNA (72 nucleotides) under Capra hircus (goat). It matches the Rfam family "tRNA". Rfam says of the family: Transfer RNA (tRNA) molecules are approximately 80 nucleotides in length. Their secondary structure includes four short double-helical elements and three loops (D, anti-codon, and T loops). Further hydrogen bonds mediate the characteristic L-shaped molecular structure. tRNAs have two regions of fundamental functional importance: the anti-codon, which is responsible for specific mRNA codon recognition, and the 3' end, to which the tRNAs corresponding amino acid is attached (by aminoacyl-tRNA synthetases). tRNAs cope with the degeneracy of the genetic code in two manners: having more than one tRNA (with a specific anti-codon) for a particular amino acid; and 'wobble' base-pairing, i.e. permitting non-standard base-pairing at the 3rd anti-codon position. RNAcentral also lists the same sequence under 1 other name. The record is from Rfam by way of RNAcentral. Lineage: Eukaryota; Metazoa; Chordata; Mammalia; Artiodactyla; Bovidae.
UCCCUGGUGGUCCAGUAGUAAGGACUCCAUGCUCCUAAUGCAGGGGCCCGGGUUCAGUCCCUGGUCAGGGAA